CACAGGUUUUCUUGUCAGUCCUGUGAGUCCGGAGGUCUUCUUGGCAGUCCUGUGAGUCCGGAGGUCUUCUUCGGGCAGUUCUUUGUCUCCUGGUAGGCAUACUGUCAAUUACGCCACCAGGUGAUGACUGCGUCCUGGGUGAAAGUAAAGAAUAAUCCUACCCACUGCUGGGGAAUGCUGAGAAAGACGGAUCGAGCCAGCGAGUGCAGCAGCCAUAACCAGCUCGGCUGUUGCAUCAACAGCCAUCCUGACGGGACAGUUGGACCCCUCUCAUUGGAACCUUCCCCGGGCCACAGCCGGCGGAGACCUAAGUUUGAGCCGAGAGACUUUGGGCCAGACACCAUUAGACAACAAAUCCGUCGGAAAAGCAGUGCACUUUGUUAAAUGCUCAUCUCAAACUUAUUUCCCUCUAUUUUUCUUCUCUAAUGUAAAACUUGGGUAAGGAAGGCGUGCAAAAGAUUUGUAUAGGACUCGCCGCACGUUUACGCUGAAGAUGCUGGAGAAGACAAAGAGCAAACCUCACAUAACAUAUUCCCAGUCCCCGAGCCCGAACCCGAAACAUAGGCAACAAAAAUAGCUGAAACCAACACAGCAACAAAGACUUGCACAAA
Molecule: long non-coding RNA, 611 nt
Organism: Haliotis rubra (blacklip abalone)
Lineage: Eukaryota; Metazoa; Mollusca; Gastropoda; Lepetellida; Haliotidae
Exons: 2
Source: RefSeq, a predicted model, not a curated record